GGUGUUAAACCGGAGGAAGUGGGGAUGACGUCAAGUCCUCAUGGCCUUUAUGCCCAGGGCUACACACGUGCUACAAUGGGUGGUACAAAGAGAGGCAAGCUCGCGAGAGUAAGCAAAUCUACAAAAAGCCAUCCUCAGUUCGGAUUGGAGUCUGCAACUCGACCCCAUGAAGUCGGAAUCGCUAGUAAUCGCGGAUCAGCAUGCCGCGGUGAAUACGUUCCCGGGCCUU
This 229-nucleotide ribosomal RNA is filed under the name uncultured Syntrophaceae bacterium. Its description in RNAcentral is "partial 16S ribosomal RNA". It matches the Rfam family "Bacterial small subunit ribosomal RNA", at positions 1154 to 1382 of the family's 1533-position model. The record is from RNAcentral. Lineage: Bacteria; Pseudomonadati; Thermodesulfobacteriota; Syntrophia; Syntrophales; Syntrophaceae.